CAUCGGAACGUGCCCAAUCUGGGGGAUAACGCAGCGAAAGCUGUGCUAAUACCGCAUACGAUCUACGGAUGAAAGCAGGGGAUCGCAAGACCUUGCGCGAAUGGAGCGGCCGAUGGCAGAUUAGGUAGUUGGUGAGGUAAAGGCUCACCAAGCCUUCGAUCUGUAGCUGGUCUGAGAGGACGACCAGCCACACUGGGACUGAGACACGGCCCAGACUCCUACGGGAGGCAGCAGUC
Molecule: ribosomal RNA, 236 nt
Filed under: uncultured Variovorax sp.
Lineage: Bacteria; Pseudomonadati; Pseudomonadota; Betaproteobacteria; Burkholderiales; Comamonadaceae
Description: partial 16S ribosomal RNA
Rfam family: Bacterial small subunit ribosomal RNA
Source: RNAcentral